Molecule: long non-coding RNA, 650 nt
Filed under: Equus asinus (donkey)
Lineage: Eukaryota; Metazoa; Chordata; Mammalia; Perissodactyla; Equidae
Description: lncRNA (ENSEASG00005032478.1)
Source: RNAcentral
GGCAAAGAGGGGAUGAGAGCAGCCUAGGCAACAAGGCCGCAGACUCAUGCUGUUCUUACCCAAAGUUCAGCAGAUUUCAUCAGUAUGAUUUUGGUCAAUUUCCAGAGCACUGAAAUGGUUGUUUUUGAGAUUCUGAUGAACCUCACAGUUGUUUUUUGUUUUGUUUUGUUUUGUUUUGAGGAAGAUCAGCCCUGAGCUAACAUCUGCCACCAAUCCUCCUCUUUUUGCCGAGGAAGACUGGCCCUGAGCUAACAUCCGUGCCCAUCUUCCUCUACUUUAUAUGUGGGACGCGUGCCACAGCAUGGCCUAAUAAGCAGUGUGUAGGUCCACACCUGGGAUAUGAACCAGUGGACCCUGGGCCACCAAAGCUGAGCGCACAAACUUAACCACUGCGCUACAGGGCAGGCCCCUCACAGUUGUUUUUCAAAGGUUUUCUCACUUUCGAUGGCAAAUGAAUCCAGGAGUGACAAGCUUAAACCCGUCCUUAGUCACUUUGGACUUAGGAACGACGGACUUCACAAACAGCCACAGUUGUAGGUCCUUCUAGUUGUGGCAUGGGGGACAGCGCCUCAAUGUGGCCUGACGAGCGGUGCCAUGUCCACGUCCAGGAUUUGAACUUCAGCCUCCGAAGCAGAGCGCGAGAACUUAAU